GGAGAGGUACCCGAAGCGGCCCAACGGGGUCCGGGCACACGCCCGGCCGGGUCUUCACGGCCCUCGCAGGUUCGAAUCCUGCCCUCUCCG
Molecule: transfer RNA, 90 nt
Filed under: Streptomyces griseocarneus
Lineage: Bacteria; Bacillati; Actinomycetota; Actinomycetes; Kitasatosporales; Streptomycetaceae
Description: tRNA-Val
Rfam family: tRNA
About the family: Transfer RNA (tRNA) molecules are approximately 80 nucleotides in length.
Source: RNAcentral